GGGUCAGGAGGUUGGUCGUGCCACCGGUACGUACUGGUCUCACUGAUUCCUCCUUCCUGAAGACCCGUAAUGCCAUUAAUUUGGUGUUGCGGGGAAACAGGACUGUUACUUUGAAAAAAUUAGAGUGUUUAAAGCAAGCUAACGCUUGAAUACAUUAGCAUGGAAUAAUGAAAUAGGACGAUCGAUCCUAUUUUGUUGGUUUCUAGGAUUGACGUA
This 216-nucleotide ribosomal RNA is filed under the name Glomeromycotina sp. RNAcentral's name for it is "partial small subunit ribosomal RNA". The stretch from base 40 to 216 matches the Rfam family "Eukaryotic small subunit ribosomal RNA", at positions 686 to 864 of the family's 1831-position model. Lineage: Eukaryota; Fungi; Glomeromycota. The record is from RNAcentral.